AUUGAACGCUGGCGGCAGGCCUAACACAUGCAAGUCGAGCGGAUGAAGGGAGCUUACUCCUGGAUUCAGCGGCGGACGGGUGAGUAAUGCCUAGGAAUCUGCCUGGUAGUGGGGGAUAACGUCCGGAAACGGGCGCUAAUACCGCAUACGUCCUGAGGGAGAAAGUGGGGGAUCUUCGGACCUCACGCUAUCAGAUGAGCCUAGGUCGGAUUAGCUAGUUGGUGGGGUAAAGGCCUACCAAGGCGACGAUCCGUAACUGGUCUGAGAGGAUGAUCAGUCACACUGGAACUGAGACACGGUCCAGACUCCUACGGGAGGCAGCAGUGGGGAAUAUGGGACAAUGGGCGAAAGCCUGAUCCAGCCAUGCCGCGUGUGUGAAGAAGGUCUUCGGAUUGUAAAGCACUUUAAGUUGGGAGGAAGGGCAGUAAGUUAAUACCUUGCUGUUUUGACGUUACCAACAGAAUAAGCACCGGCUAACUUCGUG
Molecule: ribosomal RNA, 484 nt
Filed under: uncultured bacterium
Lineage: Bacteria
Description: partial 16S ribosomal RNA
Rfam family: Bacterial small subunit ribosomal RNA
Source: RNAcentral